This 29-nucleotide transfer RNA is filed under the name Bavayia septuiclavis. Its description in RNAcentral is "partial tRNA-Tyr". The record is from RNAcentral. Lineage: Eukaryota; Metazoa; Chordata; Lepidosauria; Squamata; Diplodactylidae.
UGACGCGGGUUAAAAUCCUGUUUCUAUCA